This 75-nucleotide transfer RNA is filed under the name Phytohabitans rumicis. Its description in RNAcentral is "tRNA-Thr". The record is from RNAcentral. Lineage: Bacteria; Bacillati; Actinomycetota; Actinomycetes; Micromonosporales; Micromonosporaceae.
CGACGGCGGGUCGCCCCAGAGCUUCACGCCGUUCUCGUAGAGCGGUACGGCGCGGUUCGGCCCCGUGGCCGUCUG